AUUGAACGCUGGCGGCAGGCCUAACACAUGCAAGUCGAACGGUAACAGGAAGAAGCUUGCUUCUUUGCUGACGAGUGGCGGACGGGUGAGUAAUGUCUGGGAAACUGCCUGAUGGAGGGGGAUAACUACUGGAAACGGUAGCUAAUACCGCAUAACGUCGCAAGACCAAAGAGGGGGACCUUCGGGCCUCUUGCCAUCGGAUGUGCCCAGAUGGGAUUAGCUAGUAGGUGGGGUAACGGCUCACCUAGGCGACGAUCCCUAGCUGGUCUGAGAGGAUGACCAGCCACACUGGAACUGAGACACGCUCCAGACUCCUACGGGAGGCAGCAGUGGGGAAUAUUGCACAAUGGGCGCAAGCCUGAUGCAGCCAUGCCGCGUGUAUGAAGAAGGCCUUCGGGUUGUAAAGUACUUUCAGCGGGGAGGAAGGGAGUAAAGUUAAUACCUUUGCUCAUUGACGUUACCCGCAGAAGAAGCACCGGCUAACUCCGUG
RNAcentral lists this ribosomal RNA (490 nucleotides) under uncultured bacterium. RNAcentral's name for it is "partial 16S ribosomal RNA". It matches the Rfam family "Bacterial small subunit ribosomal RNA", at positions 30 to 507 of the family's 1533-position model. The record is from RNAcentral.